Molecule: long non-coding RNA, 1434 nt
Filed under: Taeniopygia guttata (zebra finch)
Lineage: Eukaryota; Metazoa; Chordata; Aves; Passeriformes; Estrildidae
Description: lncRNA (ENSTGUG00000018802.1)
Source: RNAcentral
AUGAAGCUGCAGGGAGCAGCAAAUAUUUUUCCUGCUAUUUUCUGUAGCCCAGUUCCUGCGUCCCUCGAGGUCACACACUGGAGGUCACAGCCUCCCCUGACAGCUGCCAAGGCUGCUCCAGCCAGGCCCGAGUGCCGCGGUUCAGCAGCGCUGCCACGAUCUCCUAAAUACAGCAGCUCCCAUCCAGCAGAUGGCCGACCCCGGGAGCUGCUGCGGGACCGCUGUGGGAUCGCUGCGGGAUCGCUGCGGGAUCGAUGUGGGAUCACUAUGGGAUCUCUGCGGGAUCACUGCCAGGAUCACUGUGGGAUCGCUGCGGGAUCACUGCCAGGAUCACUGUGGGAUCUCUGCGGGAUCACUGUGGGAUCACUGUGGGAUCGCUGCGGGAUCGCUAUGGGAUCUCUGCGGGAUCGCUGUGGGAUCUCUGCGGGAUCACUGCCAGGAUCACUGUGGGAUCUCUGCGGGAUCGAUGUGGGAUCACUGUGGGACCGCUGCGGGAUUGCUGUGGGAUCACUGCCAGGAUCACUGUGGGAUCUCUGCGGGAUCGCCGCGGGAUCGCUAUGGGAUCUCUGCGGGAUCACUGCGGGAUCUCUGCGGGAUUUCUACAAGAUCACUGCCAGGAUCACUGUGGGAUCUCUGCGGGACCGCUGUGGGAUCACUGCCAGGAUCACUGUGGAAUCUCUGCGGGAUCACUGCGGGAUCGCUAUGGGAUCUCUGCGGGAUCACUGCGGGAUCUCUGCGGGAUUUCUACAAGAUCACUGCCAGGAUCACUGUGGAAUCUCUGCGGGAUCACUGCGGGAUCGCUAUGGGAUCUCUGCGGGAUCACUGCCGGGAUCACUGCGGGAUCUCUGCAGGAUCACUGUGGGAUCUCUGUGGGAUCUCUGCAGGACCACUGUGGAAUCGCUGUGGGAUCGCUGCGUGAUCACUACAGGAUCUCUGCAGGAUUACUACCCGGAUCACUGUGGGAUCUCUGCAGGAUUGCUGUGGGAUCUCUGCCGGGAUCGCUGCCGGGAUGCGACUGCGCGGGGCUCCCUCUGCCGGCGGCUGCCGGGGGUGCCGGUGACCGGGCUCGGUCCUGGAGCCGGAGAGCGGCAGCCCCGGACACCGACCCGGCAACGGGGCUGGGAGCGCUGUCCGGGGCUGGCAGAGCUGUCCCGGGGCUGCCAGCGCUGUCCCGGGGCUGGGAGCGCUGUCCCGGGGCUGCCAGCGCUGCCCGGGGCUGGGGGCUGCCAGCGCUGUCCCGGGGCUGCCAGCGCUGCCCGGGGCUGCCAGCGCUGUCCCGGGGCUGCCAGCGCUGUCCCGGGGCUGCCAGCGCUGCCCGGGGCUGGGGGCUGCCAGCGCUGUCCCGGGGCUGCCAGCGCUGUCCCGGGGCUGCCAGCGCUGUCCCGGGGCUGCCAGCGCUGCCCGGGGCUGCCAGCGCUGUCCCGGGGCUGUUAG